CCUACGGGCGGCAGCAGUGAGGAAUAUUGGUCAAUGGACGAGAGUCUGAACCAGCCAAGUAGCGUGAAGGAUGACUGCCCUAUGGGUUGUAAACUUCUUUUAUAUGGGAAUAAAAUGUUCCACGUGUGGGAUUUUGUAUGUACCAUAUGAAUAAGGAUCGGCUAACUCCGUGCCAGCAGCCGCGGUAAUACGGAGGAUCCGAGCGUUAUCCGGAUUUAUUGGGGUUAAAGGGAGCGUAGGUGGAUUUUUAAGUCAGUUGUGAAAGUGUGCGGGUCAACCGUAAAAUUGCAGUUGAAACUGGCAGUCUUGAGUACAGGAGAGGUGGGCGGAAUUCGUGGUGUAGCGGUGAAAUGCUUAGAUAUCACGAAGAACUCCGAUUGCGAAGGCAGUUCACUGGACUGCAACUGACACUGAGGCUCGAAAGUGUGGGUAUCAAACAGGAUUAGAUACCCGUGUAGUC
This 460-nucleotide ribosomal RNA is filed under the name uncultured bacterium. RNAcentral's name for it is "partial 16S ribosomal RNA". It matches the Rfam family "Bacterial small subunit ribosomal RNA", at positions 338 to 795 of the family's 1533-position model. The record is from RNAcentral.